Molecule: ribosomal RNA, 253 nt
Filed under: uncultured bacterium
Lineage: Bacteria
Description: partial 16S ribosomal RNA
Rfam family: Bacterial small subunit ribosomal RNA
Source: RNAcentral
UACGUAGGGUGCAAGCGUUGUCCGGAAUUAUUGGGCGUAAAGAGCUCGUAGGCGGUCUGUCGCGUCGGCUGUGAAAACUCGGGGCUCAACCCCGAGCCUGCAGUCGAUACGGGCAGACUAGAGUGCUGUAGGGGAGACUGGAAUUCCUGGUGUAGCGGUGAAAUGCGUAGAUAUCGAGAGGAACACCUGCGGCGAAGGCGGGUUGCUGGGCUGACACUGACGCUGAUGCGCGAAAGCCAGGGGAGCGAACGGG